GCCGCCAUCGCAUAAUGGUAUUGCACCAGGUUGCUAACCUGGACCCUUCGGGGUGCCUGGGUUCGAUUCCCAGUGGCGGCG
Molecule: transfer RNA, 81 nt
Filed under: Candidatus Pacearchaeota archaeon
Lineage: Archaea; Nanobdellati
Description: tRNA-Ser
Rfam family: tRNA
About the family: Transfer RNA (tRNA) molecules are approximately 80 nucleotides in length. Their secondary structure includes four short double-helical elements and three loops (D, anti-codon, and T loops). Further hydrogen bonds mediate the characteristic L-shaped molecular structure. tRNAs have two regions of fundamental functional importance: the anti-codon, which is responsible for specific mRNA codon recognition, and the 3' end, to which the tRNAs corresponding amino acid is attached (by aminoacyl-tRNA synthetases). tRNAs cope with the degeneracy of the genetic code in two manners: having more than one tRNA (with a specific anti-codon) for a particular amino acid; and 'wobble' base-pairing, i.e. permitting non-standard base-pairing at the 3rd anti-codon position.
Source: RNAcentral